GUGCAGCAGUCGCGAAAACUCCGCAAUACACGAAAGUGUGACGGGGUUACCCAAAGUGCUUAAUAUUUAAGCUGUGGUAAGUGUGUAAUGUACCUUACUAGAAAGGAGAGGGCAAGGCUGGUGCCAGCCGCCGCGGUAAAACCAGCUCUUCAAGUGGUCGGGAUAUUUAUUGGGCUUAAAGUGUCCGUAGCUUGUAUAAUAAGUUCCUGGUAAAAUCUAAUAGCUUAACUAUUAGUAUGCUAGGAAUACUGUUAUACUAGAGGGCGGGAGAGGUUUGAGGUACUUCAGGGGUAGGGGUGAAAUCCUAUAAUCCUUGAAGGACCACCAGUGGCGAAGGCGUCAGACUGGAACGCGCCUGACAGUGAGGGACGAAAGCCAGGGGAGCGAACCGGAUUAGAUACCCCCGUAGUCC
RNAcentral lists this ribosomal RNA (412 nucleotides) under uncultured archaeon. RNAcentral describes it as "bacterial SSU rRNA". It matches the Rfam family "Archaeal small subunit ribosomal RNA", at positions 330 to 747 of the family's 1478-position model. The record is from RNAcentral.